ACCCCUAAUCGGUGGCCCCACCCAAUCCCCCCUCAUUCCUAUGUUUGGUUCAUGGUAUUGCUAAUACCAUUGUAAUCGGUUACUGAUUUAAUCGGUGGAUUUCACCGAUUUGUAAUCCUUCCAUUUUGCCCAGAUUAGGCGCCGCAUAGGUUUACCAUCCCUGUUAUACCCUCCCAUCUGCUUCCCCUUUGUUUCUCUUCUGUUCCUUCUAGCCUCUGCCGAUUUCCUUGUUGGUAAGUUAAUCCCCUCCAG
This 252-nucleotide long non-coding RNA is filed under the name Gossypium raimondii (Peruvian cotton). RNAcentral's name for it is "long non-coding RNA (GRAI_LNC009915)". Lineage: Eukaryota; Viridiplantae; Streptophyta; Magnoliopsida; Malvales; Malvaceae. The record is from RNAcentral.